Molecule: ribosomal RNA, 500 nt
Filed under: uncultured Polyangiaceae bacterium
Lineage: Bacteria; Pseudomonadati; Myxococcota; Polyangiales; Polyangiaceae
Description: bacterial SSU rRNA
Rfam family: Bacterial small subunit ribosomal RNA
Source: RNAcentral
AGAGUUUGAUCCUGGCUCAGAGCGAACGUUAGCGGCGGGCCUAACACAUGCAAGUCGAGCGAGAAAGUGGCUUCGGCCAUCAGUAAAGCGGCGGACGGGUGAGUAACACGUAGGUAAUCUUCCUUCGAGCGGGGGACAACGGUCCGAAAGGACCGCUAAUACCGCAUACGUUUCUCGGGACCUCGGUCCUGGGAAGGAAAGCUAGGUAGCAAUAUCCGGCACUCGAUGAGGAGCCUGCGUCGCAUCAGCUAGUUGGUGGGGUAAUGGCCUACCAAGGCGAAGACGCGUAGCUGGUCUGAGAGGAUGAUCAGCCACACUGGGACUGAGACACGGCCCAGACUCCUACGGGAGGCAGCAGUGGGGAAUAUUGGACAAUGGGCGCAAGCCUGAUCCAGCCACGCCGCGUGAGUGAUGAAGGCCUUCGGGUCGUAAAGCUCUGUGGGGAGGGACGAACCGCUGCUGGUUAAUACCCAGCAGCAUGACGGUACCUCCUAGCAAGC